UACGUAGGGCGCAAGCGUUGUCCGGAAUUACUGGGCGUAAAGAGUUCGUAGGCGGUUUGUCGCGUCGUUUGUGAAAACUCACAGCUCAACUGUGAGCCUGCAGGCGAUACGGGCAGACUUGAGUACUGCAGGGGAGACUGGAAUUCCUGGUGUAGCGGUGAAAUGCGCAGAUAUCAGGAGGAACACCGGUGGCGAAGGCGGGUCUCUGGGCAGUAACUGACGCUGAGGAACGAAAGCGUGGGUAGCAAACAGG
Molecule: ribosomal RNA, 253 nt
Filed under: uncultured bacterium
Lineage: Bacteria
Description: partial 16S ribosomal RNA
Rfam family: Bacterial small subunit ribosomal RNA
Source: RNAcentral